RNAcentral lists this unclassified non-coding RNA (1688 nucleotides) under uncultured fungus. RNAcentral describes it as "sequence contains 18S rRNA gene, ITS1, 5.8S rRNA gene, ITS2, 28S rRNA gene". The stretch from base 602 to 1688 matches the Rfam family "Eukaryotic large subunit ribosomal RNA", at positions 1 to 961 of the family's 3401-position model. Lineage: Eukaryota; Fungi. The record is from RNAcentral.
GGAAGGAUCAUUAACAAAUCAUCGCAGCAACCCUAUCCACUGUUGCCAUUUUCUUAAUUGAAAAGGUAAUCGAGGGAGAGGGUUGCAUGCAUAUAUACCCGGUGUCGGCAUGUGAUGACGUCUAGUCGUCCUUGCAGACCUGAGGCUUGUCGCACACUUAGGCCAAUUUGGCUGACGUUGCGACGACAUUAACGAUUGUCUGUUUGACUGUUUAUUAUGACAAAUAAAAAUAUACAACUUUUAACAAUGGAUCUCUUGGCUCUUGCAACGAUGAAGAACGCAGUGAAAUGCGAAAAGUAAUGCGAUUUGCAUGAAUCUGUGAGUCAUCAAAUUUUUGAACGCAACUUGCACUCUUUGGGUAACCAAAGAGUAUACCUGUUUGAGAAUCAUAAACAUGUCUUGACUCUAGUUAGGGUCAGAUUUGAGGUUUGUAUAGUAUUUACAUCCCUUUAAAUGCUUAAGGUUGGGCUAGGCUUCUCUUCAGCCUAGACAUUGUGUGCUAGAGACAUAUAUUGUCUACUCACAAUGCGUCUAGGCUGAAAACCUAGUCACUUAUGACAGCCUUCCUAUAUACAAAUCAAUAGCAUUGAUUUUUUUAUAUUGAUCUCAAAUCAGGUAAGAUUACCCGCUGAACUUAAGCAUAUCAGUAAGCGGAGGAAAAGAAACUAACAAGGAUUCCCCUAGUAACGGCGAGUGAAGCGGGAAGAGCUCAAAUUUUAAAUCUGAGAGGUUCCCUCUCCGAAUUGUAGUUUAAAGAGGCGUUUUCUGAUUCUUCCUGGUCGUCCAAGUCCCUUGGAAUAGGGCGUCAAAGAGGGUGAGAACCCCGUCUGGGCGGCUAGGCAGAAUCUUUAUGAUACGCUUUCAAAGAGUCGUGUUGUUUGGGAAUGCAGCACAAAAUGGGUGGUAAAUUUCACCUAAGGCUAAAUACAGGCAAGAGACCGAUAGCGAACAAGUACCGUGAGGGAAAGAUGAAAAGCACCUUGAAAAGGGAGUUAAAUAGAGCGUGAAAUUGUUAAAAGGGAAACGAUUGAGGCCAGUAUUGCUGCAGCAGUUCAGCGGCUACUACGGUGAGGGCCAAUGUCUAGAGCGCAAGCCUAGGCCUGGUACCAUAUCCGCGAUUACCGUGCACUCUGUUGUAGCAAGUCAGCGCCAGUUUGAUCUUCUGGACAAAGGUCAGAGGAAGGUGACGUCGCUUCGGUAGCGUUUUAUAGACUCUGGCUGGCACAGUUGAUUGGACUGGAAGUAUCCUUGGGUUCACCGGUUCCUGAACCGCUGCCUGUACUAUUUUGACAGCUUGCUGACACGAUAGGAAGGGUAGCGCGUAAGUAAUCGCUCCUAAGUAAUGCUGACGAAAUGGUCUUAAACGACCCGUCUUGAAACACGGACCAAGGAGUCUAACAUAUAUGCGAGUAUUUGAGUGGCAAACUCGAAUGCGUAAUGAAAGUGAGUAGCAUGGGAACCAUCUUCCUACCCGGAACGGUGCACCAUGGACCGACCUUGAUAUCUUUUGAUAGGUUCGAGUAAGAGCAUAUCUGUUGGGACCCGAAAGGUGGUGAACUAUGCCUGGAUAGGAUGAAGCCAGAGGAAACUCUGGUGGAGGUCCGUAGCCGUUCUGACGUGCAAAUCGAUGGUCAAAUCUGGGUAUAGGGGCGAAAGACUAAUCGAACCACCUAGUAGCUGGUUCCCUC